UUGGCCCUGAAUCAAGACCAGCAGUUUGCUGAAGCUAUUGGCUUCAAGCAAGAGCCUAAAGAUAUGUCUUUUGGAGCUGGGGGUGUGGCUCAAGUAGUAUAGCACCCACC
This 110-nucleotide small nucleolar RNA is filed under the name Castor canadensis (American beaver). The record is from RNAcentral. Lineage: Eukaryota; Metazoa; Chordata; Mammalia; Rodentia; Castoridae.